This 254-nucleotide ribosomal RNA is filed under the name uncultured bacterium. Its description in RNAcentral is "partial 16S ribosomal RNA". It matches the Rfam family "Bacterial small subunit ribosomal RNA", at positions 524 to 776 of the family's 1533-position model. The record is from RNAcentral.
CACGUAGGGGGCGAGCGUUGUCCGGAUUUAUUGGGCGUAAAGGGCUCGUAGGCGGCUCAGUAAGUCGGGUGUGAAACCUCCAGGCUCAACCUGGAGACGCCACUCGAUACUGCUGUGGCUAGAGUCCGGUAGGGGAGCAUGGAAUUCCUGGUGUAGCGGUGAAAUGCGCAGAUAUCAGGAGGAACACCAGUGGCGAAGGCGGUGCUCUGGGCCGGAACUGACGCUGAUGAGCGAAAGCGUGGGGAGCAAGCAGG